GUCUUUACCGAGACCCUACGCUCUGCCCCUGCUACAUAUAUGACAUUACCCAGCAUCCCUCACCAUAACAAAGGCACAGUCCCUAACCAUCCCUACACAGGUGACAUUACCCAGCAUCCCUCACCAUAACAAAGGCACAGUCCCUAAACUUCCCUACAUAGGUGACAUUACCCAGCAUCCCUCACCAUAACAAAGGCACAGUCCCUAACCAUCCCUACACAGGUGACAUUACCCAGCAUCCCUCACCAUAACAAAGGCACAGUCCCUAACCAUCCCUACACAGGUGACAUUACCCAGCAUCCCUCACCAUAACAAAGGCACAGUCCCUAACCAUCCCUACAGAGGUGACAUUACCCAGUAUCCCUCACCAUAACAAAGGCACAGUCCCUAACCAUCCCUACAUAGGUGACAUUACCCAGCAUCCCUCACCAUAACAAAGGCACAGUCCCUAAACUUCCCUACAUAGGUGACAUUACCCAGCAUCCCUCACCAUAACAAAGGCACAGUCCCUAACCAUCCUUACAUAGGUGACAUUACCCAGCAUCCCUCACCAUAACAAAGGCACAGUCCCUAAACUUCCCUACAUAGGUGACAUUACCCAGCAUCCCUCACCAUAACAAAGGCACAGUCCCUAACCAUCCCUACAUAGGUGACAUUACCCAGCAUCCCUCACCAUAACAAAGGCACAGUCCCUAACUAUCCCUACAUGACAUUACCCAGUAUCCCUCACCAUAACAAAGGCACAGUCCCUAACCAUCCCUACAGAGGUGACAUUACCCAGCAUCCCUCACCAUAACAAAGGCACAGUCCCUAACCAUCCCUACAUAGGUGACAUUACCCAGCAUCCCUCACCAUAACAAAGGCACAGUCCCUAACCAUCCCUACAUAGGUGACAUUACCCAGCAUCCCUCAGCAUAACAAAGGCACAGUCCCUAACCAUCCCUACCACAAGCUCCCU
Molecule: long non-coding RNA, 958 nt
Organism: Brienomyrus brachyistius
Lineage: Eukaryota; Metazoa; Chordata; Actinopteri; Osteoglossiformes; Mormyridae
Exons: 7
Source: RefSeq, a predicted model, not a curated record